GACGAACGCUGGCGGCGUGCUUAACACAUGCAAGUCGAACGCUGAAGCCCAGCUUGCUGGGUGGAUGAGUGGCGAACGGGUGAGUAACACGUGAGUAACCUGCCCCCUUCUUUGGGAUAACGCCCGGAAACGGGUGCUAAUACUGGAUAUUCACUGGCCUUCGCAUGGGGGUUGGUGGAAAGGUUUUUUCUGGUGGGGGAUGGGCUCGCGGCCUAUCAGCUUGUUGGUGGGGUGAUGGCCUACCAAGGCUUUGACGGGUAGCCGGCCUGAGAGGGUGACCGGUCACAUUGGGACUGAGAUACGGCCCAGACUCCUACGGGAGGCAGCAGUGGGGAAUAUUGCACAAUGGGCGAAAGCCUGAUGCAGCGACGCCGCGUGAGGGAUGACGGCCUUCGGGUUGUAAACCUCUUUCGCUCAUGGUCAAGCCGCAACAAUGGUUGUGGUGAGGGUAGUGGGUAAAGAAGCGCCGGCUAACUACGUGCCAGCAGCCGCGGUAAUACGUAGGGCGCGAGCGUUGUCCGGAAUUAUUGGGCGUAAAGGGCUUGUAGGCGGUUGGUCGCGUCUGCCGUGAAAUCCUCUGGCUUAACUGGGGGCGUGCGGUGGGUACGGGCUGACUUGAGUGCGGUAGGGGAGACUGGAACUCCUGGUGUAGCGGUGGAAUGCGCAGAUAUCAGGAAGAACACCGGUGGCGAAGGCGGGUCUCUGGGCCGUUACUGACGCUGAGGAGCGAAAGCGUGGGGAGCGAACAGG
RNAcentral lists this ribosomal RNA (750 nucleotides) under uncultured Actinomyces sp. Its description in RNAcentral is "bacterial SSU rRNA". It matches the Rfam family "Bacterial small subunit ribosomal RNA", at positions 28 to 776 of the family's 1533-position model. The record is from RNAcentral. Lineage: Bacteria; Bacillati; Actinomycetota; Actinomycetes; Actinomycetales; Actinomycetaceae.